GACGAACGCUGGCGGCGUGCUUAACACAUGCAAGUCGAACGCUGAAGCUUGGUGCUUGCACUGGGUGGGUGAGUGGCGAACGGGUGAGUAAUACGUGAGUAACCUGCCCUUGACUCUGGGAUAAGCCUGGGAAACUGGGUCUAAUACUGGAUACGACAUGUCACCGCAUGGUGGUGUGUGGAAAGGGGUUUACUGGUUUUGGAUGGGCUAACGGCCUAUCAGCUUGUUGGGUGGGUAAUGGCUCACCAUGGCGACGACGGGUAGCCGGCCUGAGAGGGUGACCGGCCACACUGGGACUGAGACACGGCCCAGACUCCUACGGGAGGCAGCAGGGGGGAAUAUUGCACAAUGGGCGGAAGCCUGAUGCAGCGACGCCGCGUGAGGGAUGACGGCCUUCGGGUUGUAAACCUCUUUCAGCACGGAAGAAGCGAAAGUGACGGUACGUGCAGAAGAAGCGCCGGCUAACUACGUG
This 472-nucleotide ribosomal RNA is filed under the name uncultured bacterium. RNAcentral describes it as "partial 16S ribosomal RNA". It matches the Rfam family "Bacterial small subunit ribosomal RNA", at positions 28 to 507 of the family's 1533-position model. The record is from RNAcentral.